This 90-nucleotide transfer RNA is filed under the name Pseudomonadota bacterium. Its description in RNAcentral is "Proteobacteria bacterium tRNA-Ser". It matches the Rfam family "tRNA". Rfam says of the family: Transfer RNA (tRNA) molecules are approximately 80 nucleotides in length. Their secondary structure includes four short double-helical elements and three loops (D, anti-codon, and T loops). Further hydrogen bonds mediate the characteristic L-shaped molecular structure. tRNAs have two regions of fundamental functional importance: the anti-codon, which is responsible for specific mRNA codon recognition, and the 3' end, to which the tRNAs corresponding amino acid is attached (by aminoacyl-tRNA synthetases). tRNAs cope with the degeneracy of the genetic code in two manners: having more than one tRNA (with a specific anti-codon) for a particular amino acid; and 'wobble' base-pairing, i.e. permitting non-standard base-pairing at the 3rd anti-codon position. RNAcentral also lists the same sequence under 1 other name. Lineage: Bacteria; Pseudomonadati; Pseudomonadota. The record is from RNAcentral.
GGAGGGGUGGCCGAGUGGCUGAAGGCGCACGCUUGGAAAGCGUGUAUACGGGAAACCGUAUCGGGGGUUCGAAUCCCCCUCCCUCCGCCA